GAAAAUGAAUCAAAACUUUCAACAACGGAUCUCUUGGUUCUGGCAUCGAUGAAGAACGCAGCGAAAUGCGAUAAGUAAUGUGAAUUGCAGAAUUCAGUGAAUCAUCGAAUCUUUGAACGCACAUUGCGCCCGCCAGUAUCCUGGCGGGCAUGCCUGUC
Molecule: ribosomal RNA, 158 nt
Filed under: Trichoderma harzianum
Lineage: Eukaryota; Fungi; Ascomycota; Sordariomycetes; Hypocreales; Hypocreaceae
Description: 5.8S ribosomal RNA
Rfam family: 5.8S ribosomal RNA
About the family: 5.8S ribosomal RNA (5.8S rRNA) is a component of the large subunit of the eukaryotic ribosome. It is transcribed by RNA polymerase I as part of the 45S precursor that also contains 18S and 28S rRNA.
Source: RNAcentral